This 106-nucleotide microRNA precursor is filed under the name Manihot esculenta (cassava). Its description in RNAcentral is "mir-399 microRNA precursor family". It matches the Rfam family "mir-399 microRNA precursor family". From Rfam's summary of the family: mir-399 was identified in both Arabidopsis thaliana and Oryza sativa computationally and was later experimentally verified. mir-399 is thought to target mRNAs coding for a phosphatase transporter. The mature sequence is excised from the 3' arm of the hairpin. The record is from Rfam by way of RNAcentral. Lineage: Eukaryota; Viridiplantae; Streptophyta; Magnoliopsida; Malpighiales; Euphorbiaceae.
UGAAGAAUAUCAGUGCGAUUCUCCUUUGGCAGGAAUUUGGUAUUCUGCUGUUAACCAGUCUGCUAAACUGAUUGCUGCCAAAGGAGAAUUGCCCUGUUAUUCAACU